This 73-nucleotide transfer RNA is filed under the name Lentinula aciculospora. It matches the Rfam family "tRNA". Rfam says of the family: Transfer RNA (tRNA) molecules are approximately 80 nucleotides in length. Their secondary structure includes four short double-helical elements and three loops (D, anti-codon, and T loops). The record is from Rfam by way of RNAcentral. Lineage: Eukaryota; Fungi; Basidiomycota; Agaricomycetes; Agaricales; Omphalotaceae.
GGCUGGAUAGCUCAGUAGUUAGAGCAUCUUGGGAUUUCACCAGUAGUCCUGGGUUCAAUCCCCAGUCUGGUCA